This 788-nucleotide long non-coding RNA is filed under the name Fukomys damarensis (Damara mole-rat). Its description in RNAcentral is "lncRNA (ENSFDAG00000030003.1)". Lineage: Eukaryota; Metazoa; Chordata; Mammalia; Rodentia; Bathyergidae. The record is from RNAcentral.
GUUAUUGCAGCAGACACAGUGCCAGGUACUAAGAAUAGGAAAAUAAAUAACACUUAAUUGUUUUCUUUCUUUUUUUAUUUGUCUGCUGUAUUUCCCAUUAAUUUAUUUAUUCAGUGCGAUUUUUUUUUCUCCCCAUGUGAGCCACCAAAACAGUUGAUAGCCUAUAGGGAAGACAGACAAGCAAACAGAUUAUUGACAACCCAUCUAAUUGGUUGUUUAAUGAGAGUGUGAAUGGAGCCCUGUGGGAUCUAAAUCCGGGAUGCAGAGAAAAGCUCCCGGUGAGUCCCUUCUACCAGGGUGUAAGGCAUGAGUACAUUCCGACCUCUUAGGAGUAACCCUCUAACUGACUCCUGCUUCUCUCCUCUGCUUCCUAUAACCUCUUGUCUACACAGUUGCUGAGAAAAUUUUUUAAAUGAGAGUCAAAGCCUAGCAAAUUCCUAUGUGAUAUUUUCAGUGAUCGCUGGUUGCUUUCAGAAGAAAACCCAAGCUCCUCACCAUGCCACAAAGGCCUGAAUAUCCUGGCCCCUGCUCCCCACUCUUCUCUCAUCAUCACUUACGGUCAAUUCAGCCUCCUUCCAACCAAGUACCUGGCAUCUGCUGACUUCCCAGAGGUGGGUUCUACGGUCACUGUUUGCUGCUUGAUGUAUUGUGCACAAAGAGGAAAGAACUCUGGAAAGCCAGUCCCCAUCAGAUUGCUUUGGAUGUGCAGUCUGAGCAGGCCCAGAUAUUCAAAGGCAGAUGGAGGCACAGCAGUGGUUUCUGGACUUGAAUAUGUAUACUGCCUGUGA